This 484-nucleotide ribosomal RNA is filed under the name uncultured bacterium. RNAcentral describes it as "partial 16S ribosomal RNA". It matches the Rfam family "Bacterial small subunit ribosomal RNA", at positions 30 to 507 of the family's 1533-position model. The record is from RNAcentral.
AUUGAACGCUGGCGGCAGGCCUAACACAUGCAAGUCGAGCGGAUGAAGGGAGCUUGCUCCUGGAUUCAGCGGCGGACGGGUGAGUAAUGCCUAGGAAUCUGCCUGGUAGUGGGGGAUAACGUCCGGAAACGGGCGCUAAUACCGCAUACGUCCUGAGGGAGAAAGUGGGGGAUCUUCGGACCUCACGCUAUCAGAUGAGCCUAGGUCGGAUUAGCUAGUUGGUGGGGUAAAGGCCUACCAAGGCGACGAUCCGUAACUGGUCUGAGAGGAUGAUCAGUCACACUGGAACUGAGACACGGUCCAAGCUCCUACGGGAGGCAGCAGUGGGGAAUAUUGGACAAUGGGCGAAAGCCUGAUCCAGCCAUGCCGCGUGUGUGAAGAAGGUCUUCGGAUUGUAAAGCACUUUAAGUUGGGAGGAAGGGCAGUAAGUUAAUACCUUGCUGUUUUGACGUUACCAACAGAAUAAGCACCGGCUAACUUCGUG